This is a long non-coding RNA of Felis catus (domestic cat), 1457 nucleotides long. RefSeq lists it as uncharacterized. The transcript has 2 exons. The record is from RefSeq and is a predicted model, not a curated record. NCBI's taxonomy places the organism in Eukaryota, Metazoa, Chordata, Mammalia, Carnivora, Felidae.
CAUAAGGAAACAAGCUUUGGGAGGAGUCCAUUUUGUUUGUUUUGAUGGGAGCAGAGGCAUCCAGUAAUCAGGAGCAGCUCGCCUAGGGAUUUCCUCCGGUGCUCAGUGGGCAACAGAAGUUACAGUUUGCUCAUCAGGCAGGUUCUGAUGCAUGCUUUAGAUGGUUCUCAUCUGGAGCCUCUGCUAGGAAGAACUGAAGAGUGACUCAUGACUGGGAGUUGGAAUCCUCUGGAGACCCCCUUUUCCUUGAUCAUCUCUGUUGCUUAGCCUGACCUACGCAAGGACUAGGACUACUGACUGGAGGUCUUUGCUCCCUCACAAAAUACUGCCUCAGGGUAAUCAGACUUGUCACAUGUCAGUGGAAUUAUAAACAAAGGGGAUGAUGGUACAUUGUCUUUCAUGGCCCAUCUUGGAAGAUGCAUACCCUAUUGUUAAUUCCAGCAUACUCCAUUGGCCAAAGCAGUCACGAGCCUGCCCAGAAUCAAGAAGAGGAGAAUUAGACUCCACCUCCUAAUGGGGAAGUGGCAAAGCCACACCAUAGAAGAGCAUGUGGGAUAAGAGGUGUUGUUGCAUCCGUUUUUGGAAAAUAAAAUCUGCCACAGUGAUGUUGGGAAAAUGGAUUUAGAAUCUAAGUGUUGAUUAAAGGAUGUCUAGGAGUCACAAUCAGACAUUUAAACUGCUGGGGUACUUUGAGGUUUGAUGUCAUUUUAAUACUCUUUAUCUGGUAUCGAUCCCAAAAGGGUAAGUUGACUUUCUCAAUUUUGCUAUUUUUCACCCAUCAGUACAUAAUUUGAGUGUGGAAUACUUGUCUGGAAGAAUCUGGUGACUACCUAUAUUCUGAAUACUAAAAUAUCUAAGUAGUCCAAAUUCAUAUAUAGUUUGUGUUUUCUUCCAGCUUCUCAUAAGUCCCUGGUGCUAUGGUUCCUCUGCAAAACAGUUAAAGAUCCCUUGAAAAAUCUUGUUUUGCUUUCACAGAAAUGUCAUGAAUAUAAAGUCUUUUUGAUGAUAAAAAGAAUUUUAUGAUGCUCAUGUAUAUCCUUUAGUUUUAUAGAUGGAAGAUGGUGUUGAUAAUGGCACGAUAAUUUAUAUCAGACUCACUGAGCAGAUCAUUGCAACUGAGUUUUUCACUGAAAAAUUCAAUUACAUUUCUCUACAUUUUAACACCACUGCCAAAGGAUGCACUGAAAUCUUUCCUAACUCCCUUCUAGACAAAAAAAAAAAAAAAAAAAAAAAAAAUGUUCUGCCACAAAGAGUCUCUUAAGAUUCUUGAAGGACAUUUCUCCUUGUCAGUAUGUAUUCUGGGGGAGGACUAUGCUGUUUCAAGAUACAGGCUCAUCAGUUAUUCUCUCGGUAAAUGUAAAAGCUUUGACUGUCUGAUUGCAAAGACAACACCUGAGAGCUAUUACUCUUAAUGUAUCAAACCUUUCCAGAAGAAAAUAUAUCUACCAUUUUUAAAA